This 952-nucleotide long non-coding RNA is filed under the name Mus musculus (house mouse). Its description in RNAcentral is "Rpsl7". Lineage: Eukaryota; Metazoa; Chordata; Mammalia; Rodentia; Muridae. The record is from RNAcentral.
CUGAUCUUUUCCCUGACAUCUGUAAGUUGGCUAUAGGAGCCCCUCCUGGAUGGGACUUGGAGGGGUACUCUGACAUUCAGAGGGCACCUUUAACACCCCCUCCGUACGUAGAAAAACAUUCGAGAGACCCAUGGGGUGGUUGCUCUAACCAAAGGGAUAGAAGUAAGCUUCGAACCCAUCCCUUCUAUGUCUGCCCCGGGCCCCACCGAAGUCAGUCCCUCAAUCCAACGUGUGGAGCGUCUUAUGUACCUGGAGGAUUUGACCUAGACGAGUGUACUGACUGGUGCCAUCCGCUCCGUGUCACCUUCACUGAACCAGGGAAGAGAGCUCUGGGAUGGACAAAAGGGUAUACCUGGGGUCUUAGGAUUUACAAGGAAAGAUAUGAUGAGGGAUUAUUGUUCACUAUCAGAUUAAAAAUAGAGACCCCCUACAAUCCUUUAGGCCCCCCAACCAAGUUCACACCCCUCACCCAUACAAUUACUCAGCCUACUCCAGUGAUUGCGGACCCCCUUAAUAUGGCCGCUAUCACCCAACCUCCCACUCCUCAGGUACCUCUAACUAUUACCCCCGCGAUUCCUUCAAGACAGAGGAUGUUUAACCUAGUGAGAGGAGCCUUUUAUGCCCUUAACAGAACUGAUCCAAGCGCUACUGAGGACUGCUGGCUAUGCCUGUCCUUGGGUCCGCCUUAUUAUGAAGGAAUCGCCUUCAAUGGAGAUUUCAACAGAACCAGCAGCCAUACUUCCUGCUCUUGGGGUACAGGACAAAAACUGACCCUGACUGAAGUAUCCGCGAGGAAUCCAGGUCUCUGUAUAGGUACCCCACCUUCCACUCACAAACACCUAUGCGGACAAAUUCAGUCCGUGUCCAGAACGGAAGCUAAUUACUAUCUUGUACCUUCCCCGGUUGGAUGGUGGGCUUGCAAUACAAGACUUACUCCCUGUGUAUCAACUAA